Molecule: ribosomal RNA, 612 nt
Filed under: uncultured bacterium
Lineage: Bacteria
Description: bacterial SSU rRNA
Rfam family: Bacterial small subunit ribosomal RNA (bases 1-517)
Source: RNAcentral
CCUACGGGAGGCAGCAGUGGGGAAUCUUGCGCAAUGGGCGAAAGCCUGACGCAGCCAUGCCGCGUGAAUGAUGAAGGUCUUAGGAUUGUAAAAUUCUUUCAGUAGGGACGAUAAUGACGGUACCUACAGAAGAAGCCCCGGCUAACUUCGUGCCAGCAGCCGCGGUAAUACGAAGGGGGCUAGCGUUGCUCGGAAUUACUGGGCGUAAAGGGAGCGUAGGCGGGUUAUCAAGUUGGAGGUGAAAGCCCAGGGCUCAACCUUGGAAUAGCCUUCAAAACUGAUAACCUAGAGGAUGGAAGAGGUAAGUGGAACUCCGAGUGUAGAGGUGAAAUUCGUAGAUAUUCGGAAGAACACCAGUGGCGAAGGCGACUUACUGGUCCAUUACUGACGCUGAGGCUCGAAAGCGUGGGGAGCAAACAGGAUUAGAUACCCUGGUAGUCCACGCUGUAAACGAUGAUUGCUAGUUGUCGGCAGCAUGCUGUCGGUGACGCAGCUACGACAUAAGUACAACUCCGCCGUCGGGGUAGGUACGGUCGGCGAAGAAUUAAAACUUAACAAAUAGAAGUUAGACGGCGUGAGACGUGCCGAACGGACGACGACGAGGGAGGUAGG